This is a non-coding RNA of Myotis lucifugus (little brown bat), 75 nucleotides long. The record is from Rfam. Lineage: Eukaryota; Metazoa; Chordata; Mammalia; Chiroptera; Vespertilionidae.
CAUGGGGGGGGGGGAGUCCCUCAGCCUGGAUUGCGAGAGGGUGCAGGCCAGGCCGAGGGACUCCAUGGGUGCAUG